RNAcentral lists this ribosomal RNA (253 nucleotides) under Blautia luti. RNAcentral describes it as "partial 16S ribosomal RNA". It matches the Rfam family "Bacterial small subunit ribosomal RNA", at positions 524 to 776 of the family's 1533-position model. The record is from RNAcentral. Lineage: Bacteria; Bacillati; Bacillota; Clostridia; Lachnospirales; Lachnospiraceae.
UACGUAGGGGGCAAGCGUUAUCCGGAUUUACUGGGUGUAAAGGGAGCGUAGACGGCGUGGCAAGUCUGAUGUGAAAGGCAUGGGCUCAACCUGUGGACUGCAUUGGAAACUGCCAUACUUGAGUGCCGGAGGGGUAAGCGGAAUUCCUAGUGUAGCGGUGAAAUGCGUAGAUAUUAGGAGGAACACCAGUGGCGAAGGCGGCUUACUGGACGGUAACUGACGUUGAGGCUCGAAAGCGUGGGGAGCAAACAGG